Molecule: long non-coding RNA, 768 nt
Filed under: Bos taurus (domestic cattle)
Lineage: Eukaryota; Metazoa; Chordata; Mammalia; Artiodactyla; Bovidae
Description: long non-coding RNA NONBTAT026052
Source: RNAcentral
AAUUUUUGGCUUAUUUAUUUAAAAAAAAGUCAACCUUAUACAUAAAUAUAAUAAAAACAAUAACUCUACAAACAAUCACAAACGUCUCUACAAAAUAAUAAAUAUCAUGGAAGUUAAAACAUACAUAUAAAACGUUACUGUUAACUACUCUAUAUCUCCUGUGUAUCUUUAUACCCUGCUCCCCAACAAAAGGAUAGUGUCACAUGCUCAAACCUCCUAAGUCUUGCAGUGUAGUUACCUCUGCUGUAACUGCUACAUUCUACCCAUAAGGUUCUCACUGUGUUUUCUUACACCUAAAUAAAAAAUAGCUAGGAAGUGCACUUCUAUGAUCCAAAUUCUGGUGCAGUUAUGAUGAAAUCUGUAACUGCUAUAAUAUACAGCAGAAAUCUACCUCUCAAUCCACCAAAAUAAGAAAUAUCUUUUGGUUACGGUACCUGCACUAAAUGUAUAAGAACUGUAUAAGAUACAGUUCAAGUUAGAUACUGGCAUACUAAGUACUUUAAUAUUUUUUCAGUAAAGUCAAGGAAGUAACCACACAAUAUUAAAGUCUAAAUCGAGAACUCCUCAUAGGAGAUCCUUUACACAAAUCAAAAGGAGUAAAACACAAAGCUAGUCAUUCAUAUUCUAGAGCAGUUCAAGUUCUACAAUCAUUAAAAUAUACAUUGGACACCUACAAUAAAAGGACACCAAGAAAAUUCUAGGUUUAGUUCUAAGCUUAAAAUCAUAAUGUUCUGUUAAACCUCUUAAAGUUUUUCUUACCCAAUAGUC